GACGAACGCUGGCGGCGCGCUUAACACAUGCAAGUCGAACGGAAAGGCCUGCUUUCCCUUGUGGAUUGCGGGUACACGAGUGGCUAACGGGUGAGUAGCACGUGAGUGAUAUGCCCCCAACUAGGGUAUAAGCCUGGGAAACUGGGUCUAAUUCCCGAUAGGACUGCAGGGUGGUGCCUGUGGUGGCAGACGAUUUUCUAGUGGUUGGGGAUGAGCUCGCGGCCUAUGAGCUUGUUGGUGGGGUAGUGGCCUACCAAGGCGGCGACGGGUAGCCAGCCUGAGAGGGUGGACGGGCACAUUGGGAAUGAGAUACGGCCCAGAGACCGACGCGAGGCAGCAGUUGGGAAGAGUGGACGAUGGGCGGAAGCCUGAAGCAGCGACGCCGCGUUGGGGAUGACGGCCUGCGGGUGGUAAGCUCCUUUCGGCCGCGAGGAAGCCACCUGGUUGGAAGGGUGGUGACGGUAGUGGUAGAAGAAGCACCGGCUAACUACGUG
This 494-nucleotide ribosomal RNA is filed under the name uncultured bacterium. RNAcentral's name for it is "partial 16S ribosomal RNA". It matches the Rfam family "Bacterial small subunit ribosomal RNA", at positions 28 to 507 of the family's 1533-position model. The record is from RNAcentral.